RNAcentral lists this ribosomal RNA (468 nucleotides) under uncultured bacterium. RNAcentral's name for it is "partial 16S ribosomal RNA". It matches the Rfam family "Bacterial small subunit ribosomal RNA", at positions 28 to 507 of the family's 1533-position model. The record is from RNAcentral.
GACGAACGCUGGCGGCGUGCUUAACACAUGCAAGUCGAACGGAAAGGCCCUGCUUUUGUGGGGUGCUCGAGUGGCGAAAGGGUGAGUAACACGUGAGUAACCUGCCCUCGACUUUGGGAUAACUUCAGGAAACUGGGGGUAAUACCGGAUAGGAGCUCCUGCUGCAUGGUGGGGGUUGGACAGUUUCGGCGGUUGGGGAUGGACUCGCGGCUUAUCAGCUUGUUGGUGGGGUAGUGGCUUACCAAGGCUUUGACGGGUAGCCGGCCUGAGAGGGUGACCGGCCACAUUGGGACUGAGAUACGGCCCAGACUCCUACGGGAGGCAGCAGUGGGGAAUAUUGCACAAUGGGCGGAAGCCCGAUGCAGCAACGCCGCGUGCGGGAUGACGGCCUUCGGGUUGUAAACCGCUUUCGCCUGUGACGAAGCGUGAGUGACGGUAAUGGGUAAAGAAGCACCGGCUAACUACGUG